UGGGGAAUAUUGGACAAUGGGCGAAAGCCUGAUCCAGCCAUGCCGCGUGUGUGAAGAAGGUCUUCGGAUUGUAAAGCACUUUAAGUUGGGAGGAAGGGCAGUAAAUUAAUACUUUGCUGUUUUGACGUUACCGACAGAAUAAGCACCGGCUAACUCUGUGCCAGCAGCCGCGGUAAUACAGAGGGUGCAAGCGUUAAUCGGAAUUACUGGGCGUAAAGCGCGCGUAGGUGGUUCGUUAAGUUGGAUGUGAAAGCCCCGGGCUCAACCUGGGAACUGCAUUCAAAACUGACGAGCUAGAGUAUGGUAGAGGGUGGUGGAAUUUCCUGUGUAGCGGUGAAAUGCGUAGAUAUAGGAAGGAACACCAGUGGCGAAGGCGACCACCUGGGCUGAUACUGACACUGAGGUGCGAAAGCGUGGGGAGCAAACA
Molecule: ribosomal RNA, 427 nt
Filed under: uncultured bacterium
Lineage: Bacteria
Description: partial 16S ribosomal RNA
Rfam family: Bacterial small subunit ribosomal RNA
Source: RNAcentral